Molecule: ribosomal RNA, 423 nt
Filed under: uncultured bacterium
Lineage: Bacteria
Description: bacterial SSU rRNA
Rfam family: Bacterial small subunit ribosomal RNA
Source: RNAcentral
CCUCACCAGCUCUCGACAUUCAAUGAUCGCGGGGGGAGACCUGGGAAUCCCAACAAUCGGCAGUGCGACAGGUGCAGCAUGGCUGUCAUCAGCUGGUGUCGUGAGAUGGUGGGAUAAGUCCCGCAACGACCGCACCCCUUUCCAUUAGUCGCCAUCAAUCAGUUGGCCAUUUUAGUGGGACUCCCGGUGAUAAGCCGGAGGAAGGUGGGGAGGACGUCAAGUCAUCAUGGUCCUUACGGGAUGGCCUACACACGUGCUACAAUGGCGGUGACAAUGCGCAGCCACCUAGCAAUAGGGAGCUAAUCGCAAAAAGCCGUCUCAGUUCAGAUUGGAGUCUGCAACUCGACUCCAUGAAGUCGGAAUCGCUAGUAAUCGCGCAUCAGCAUGGCGCGGUGAAUACGUUCCCGGGUCUUGUACACACCG